CAGUCGCCGCGGGAAUACGUAGGCGGCAAGCGUUGUCCGGAAUUAUUGGGCGUAAAGGGCUCGCAGGCGGUUUCUUAAGUCUGAUGUGAAAGCCCCCGGCUCAACCGGGGAGGGUCAUUGGAAACUGGGAAACUUGAGUGCAGAAGAGGAGAGUGGAAUUCCACGUGUAGCGGUGAAAUGCGUAGAGAUGUGGAGGAACACCAGUGGCGAAGGCGACUCUCUGGUCUGUAACUGACGCUGAGGAGCGAAAGCGUGGGGAGCGAACAGGAUUAGAUACCCGAGUAGUCCCUGUCUCUUAUAC
This 301-nucleotide ribosomal RNA is filed under the name uncultured bacterium. Its description in RNAcentral is "partial 16S ribosomal RNA". It matches the Rfam family "Bacterial small subunit ribosomal RNA", at positions 509 to 807 of the family's 1533-position model. The record is from RNAcentral.